GACGAACGCUGGCGGCGUGCUUAACACAUGCAAGUCGAGCGGAAAGGCCCUUCGGGGUACUCGAGCGGCGAACGGGUGAGUAACACGUGAGUAACCUGCCCUUGGCUCUGGGAUAAGCCCGGGAAACUGGGUCUAAUACCGGAUAUGACCAUCAGAUGCAUGUCUUCGGUGGUGGAAAGAUUUUUCGGCUGGGGAUGGGCUCGCGGUCUAUCAGCUUGUUGGUGGGGUGAUGGCCUACCAAGGCGACGACGGGUAGCCGGCCUGAGAGGGUGACCGGCCACACUGGGACUGAGACACGGCCCAGACUCCUACGGGAGGCAGCAGUGGGGAAUAUGCGCAAUGGGCGAAGCCUGACGCAGCGACGCCGCGU
Molecule: ribosomal RNA, 370 nt
Filed under: uncultured bacterium
Lineage: Bacteria
Description: bacterial SSU rRNA
Rfam family: Bacterial small subunit ribosomal RNA
Source: RNAcentral